Molecule: ribosomal RNA, 404 nt
Filed under: Actinomycetes bacterium
Lineage: Bacteria; Bacillati; Actinomycetota; Actinomycetes
Description: Actinobacteria bacterium partial 16S ribosomal RNA
Rfam family: Bacterial small subunit ribosomal RNA
Source: RNAcentral
UGGGGAAUAUUGGACAAUGGGCGCAAGCCUGAUCCAGCCAUGCCGCGUGAGUGAUGACGGCCUUAGGGUUGUAAAGCUCUUUUCUCCGGGACGAUAAUGACGGUACCGGAGGAAUAAGCCCCGGCUAACUUCGUGCCAGCAGCCGCGGUAAUACGAAGGGGGCUAGCGUUGCUCGGAAUCACUGGGCGUAAAGGGCGCGUAGGCGGCGUUUUAAGUCGGGGGUGAAAGCCUGUGGCUCAACCACAGAAUGGCCUUCGAUACUGGGACGCUUGAGUCUGGUAGAGGUUGGUGGAACUGCGAGUGUAGAGGUGAAAUUCGUAGAUAUUCGCAAGAACACCGGUGGCGAAGGCGGCCAACUGGACCAGUACGGACGCUGAGGCGCGAAAGCGUGGGGAGCAAACAGG